This 977-nucleotide ribosomal RNA is filed under the name Russula insignis. RNAcentral's name for it is "partial large subunit ribosomal RNA". It matches the Rfam family "Eukaryotic large subunit ribosomal RNA", at positions 1 to 939 of the family's 3401-position model. Lineage: Eukaryota; Fungi; Basidiomycota; Agaricomycetes; Russulales; Russulaceae. The record is from RNAcentral.
GGGGCAGAGGGAGAAAAGAUUUUUUUGGCAUAUUUUUACCCGGGAAAAUUUUUUACAAUCAAUAGCGGAGGAAAAGAAACUAACAAGGAUUCCCCUAGUAACUGCGAGUGAAGCGGGAAAAGCUCAAAUUUAAAAUCUGGUGGUCUUUUGGCCAUCCGAGUUGUAAUUUAGAGAAGCGUCUUCCGCGCUGGACCGUGCACAAGUCUCCUGGAAUGGAGCGUCAUAGAGGGUGAGAAUCCCGUCUUUGGCAUGGAUCCCAGGGCUUCUGUGAUGCGCUCUCAAAGAGUCGAGUUGUUUGGGAAUGCAGCUCAAAAUGGGUGGUGAACUCCAUCUAAAGCUAAAUAUUGGCGAGAGACCGAUAGCGAACAAGUACCGUGAGGGAAAGAUGAAAAGCACUUUGGAAAGAGAGUGAAACAGUACGUGAAAUUGUUGAAAGGGAAACGCUUGAAGUCAGUCGCGUCGACCGAGACUCAGCCUCGCCUUGGCUUGGUGUACUUCUCGGCUUGACGGGUCAGCAUCAAUUUUGAUCCUUGGAUAAUGGCAAGGGAAAGGUAGCACCUUUACAGGUGUGUUAUAGUCCUCUGUCGGAUGCAAGGGUCGGGAUUGAGGAACUCAGCACGCACCUUUAGGUGUCGGGGCCUUGGCCUACGUUACGUGCUUAGGAUGCUGGCAUAAUGGCUUUAAACGACCCGUCUUGAAACACGGACCAAGGAGUCUAACAUGCCCGCGAGUGUUCGGGUGGAAAACCCGUGCGCGUAAUGAAAGUAAAAGUUGGGACCUCUGUCGUGGAGGGCACCGACGCCCGGACCAGACCUUCUGUGACGGCUCUGCGGUAGAGCGUGUAUGUUGGGACCCGAAAGAUGGUGAACUAUGCCUGAAUAGGGUGAAGCCAGAGGAAACUCUGGUGGAGGCUCGUAGCGAUUCUGACGUGCAAAUCGAUCGUCAAAUUUGGGUAUAGGGGCGAAAGACUAAUCGAA